UAAUCAAAAAGUACCGGAAACAUUUGCCACGAUGAUUUAACGUUAAUUGUCAAGUUUAAUCAUUGCCAUUACUGAGAUUGCAGUCUCUUAAUGUUAGUUUCCCAGAUAAAAAAUAUUUUUGUCCUGGAUAGGAAGUUUGGAUAUCGUUGUGUCUCUUUAUUGAGGCGAUGAAAUCUGAAUGUCGAUGAAAGGAGAUAUCU
This is a small nucleolar RNA of 200 nucleotides. It matches the Rfam family "Small nucleolar RNA snR34".